RNAcentral lists this ribosomal RNA (253 nucleotides) under uncultured bacterium. RNAcentral's name for it is "partial 16S ribosomal RNA". It matches the Rfam family "Bacterial small subunit ribosomal RNA", at positions 524 to 776 of the family's 1533-position model. The record is from RNAcentral.
UACGUAGGGUGCGAGCGUUAAUCGGAAUUACUGGGCGUAAAGUGUGCGCAGGCGGCCGAGCAAGUCGAGUGUGAAAGCCCCGAGCUUAACUUGGGAAUUGCGCUUGUGACUGGCGAGCUGGAGUGUGGCAGAGGGAGGUGGAAUUCCACGUGUAGCAGUGAAAUGCGUAGAGAUGUGGAGGAACACCGAUGGCGAAGGCAGCCUCCUGGGCCAGCACUGACGCUCAUGCACGAAAGCGUGGGGAGCAAACAGG